GUCGAACGAGGUAUUUUGAUUGAAGUUUCGGAUGGAUUCAAGAUACCGAGUGGCGGACGGGUGAGUAACGCGUGGGUAACCUGCCUCAUACAGGGGGAUAACGGUUAGAAAUGACUGCUAAUACCGCAUAAGCGCACAGUACCGCAUGGUACGGUGUGAAAAACUCCGGUGGUAUGAGAUGGACCCGCGUCUGAUUAGCUAGUUGGUGGGGUAACGGCCCACCAAGGCGACGAUCAGUAGCCGACCUGAGAGGGUGACCGGCCACAUUGGGACUGAGACACGGCCCAGACUCCUACGGGAGGCAGCAGUGGGGGAUAUUGCACAAUGGAGGAAACUCUGAUGCAGCGACGCCGCGUGAGUGAAGAAGUAUUUCGGUAUGUAAAGCUCUAUCAGCAGGGAAGAAAAUGACGGUACCUGACUAAGAAGCCCCGGCUAACUACGUGCCAGCAGCCGCGGUAAUACGUAGGGGGCAAGCGUUAUCCGGAUUUACUGGGUGUAAAGGGAGCGUAGACGGCGACGCAAGUCUGAAGUGAAAUACCCGGGCUCAACCUGGGAACUGCUUUGGAAACUGUGUUGCUAGAGUGCUGGAGAGGUAAGCGGAAUUCCUAGUGUAGCGGUGAAAUGCGUAGAUAUUAGGAAGAACACCAGUGGCGAAGGCGGCUUACUGGACAGUAACUGACGUUGAGGCUCGAAA
Molecule: ribosomal RNA, 694 nt
Filed under: uncultured Lachnospiraceae bacterium
Lineage: Bacteria; Bacillati; Bacillota; Clostridia; Lachnospirales; Lachnospiraceae
Description: bacterial SSU rRNA
Rfam family: Bacterial small subunit ribosomal RNA
Source: RNAcentral